UACGUAGGGUGCGAGCGUUGUCCGGAAUUAUUGGGCGUAAAGGGCUCGUAGGCGGUUUGUCACGUCGGGAGUGAAAACUCGGGGCUUAACCCCGAGCCUGCUUCCGAUACGGGCUGACUAGAGGUAUGCAGGGGAGAACGGAAUUCCUGGUGUAGCGGUGAAAUGCGCAGAUAUCAGGAGGAACACCGGUGGCGAAGGCGGCAUCAUGGACCGGUAUUGACGCUGAGGCGCGAAAGCUAGGGGAGCAAACGGG
Molecule: ribosomal RNA, 253 nt
Filed under: uncultured bacterium
Lineage: Bacteria
Description: partial 16S ribosomal RNA
Rfam family: Bacterial small subunit ribosomal RNA
Source: RNAcentral